Non-coding RNA from Ilyonectria destructans, 127 nucleotides. The record is from the annotation of a GenBank genome assembly. Lineage: Eukaryota; Fungi; Ascomycota; Sordariomycetes; Hypocreales; Nectriaceae.
GGAUCGAUAGCUCAGUGGUAGAGGUGAGUUUCACUGCCAUGUCUUGAAUUAAAACAUCCCAUCCUAACAGUCAUUCAGCGGGAGAUUGCAGAUCUUCAGGCCGCGUGUUCAAACCACGCUCGGUCCU